This 497-nucleotide ribosomal RNA is filed under the name uncultured bacterium. RNAcentral describes it as "partial 16S ribosomal RNA". It matches the Rfam family "Bacterial small subunit ribosomal RNA", at positions 28 to 507 of the family's 1533-position model. The record is from RNAcentral.
GAUGAACGCUGGCGGCGUGCCUAAUACAUGCAAGUCGAGCGAACAGACGAGGAGCUUGCUCCUCUGACGUUAGCGGCGGAAGGGUGAGUAACACGUGGAUAACCUACCUAUAAGACUGGGAUAACUUCGGGAAACCGGAGCUAAUACCGGAUAAUAUAUUGAACCGCAUGGUUCAAUAGUGAAAGACGGUUUUGCUGUCACUUAUAGAUGGAUCCGCGCCGCAUUAGCUAGUUGGUAAGGUAACGGAUUACCAAGGCAACGAUGCGUAGCCGACCUGAGAGGGUGAUCGGCCACACUGGAACUGAGACACGGUCCAGACUCCUACGGGAGGCAGCAGUAGGGAAUCUUCCGCAAUGGGCGAAAGCCUGACGGAGCAACGCCGCGUGAGUGAUGAAGGUCUUCGGAUCGUAAAACUCUGUUAUUAGGGAAGAACAAAUGUGUAAGUAACUAUGCACGUCUUGACGGUACCUAAUCAGAAAGCCACGGCUAACUACGUG